This 244-nucleotide unclassified non-coding RNA is filed under the name Hevea brasiliensis (rubber tree). Lineage: Eukaryota; Viridiplantae; Streptophyta; Magnoliopsida; Malpighiales; Euphorbiaceae. The record is from RNAcentral.
AAUUACAUGACAAUUGUUCUAUUAUAUUUCUCUGAGGCACUCUUUAAUUGCAAAAUAUUGCUUUUAAAACUAGUUUUGCUCUAGAUAUUGGUUUCUACUGUCUUGCAGUGUAUGUGUGUGUGUGUUUUGGUGGGGAGGGUUUUGGGUGAGGCUGUGUGGUGGCCGGCUGAUGCUUGCAAUUGGCCUAGUGUGUUUUGCUCUAGAUAAUGGUUUCUACUGGCUUGUAGUGUGUGUGUGUGUGUGU